GCAAGGUGGAGAAGUCUUGUUUAUGCCUCCUUGAAUAUCAAAUCCGGUCGUUAUAUGCAGUUGCCUGAGCAAUUUCACCCGGUUGCCUCAGUAGCGCAACGCAAUGAAGCUGGACGGGAAGUGACGCUGGUUGAGUACCUGUCUGGUGUUGUGCAUAGAUUCCAAUGUUUUUAAAAUAACUUUGUACACAGUACGGCAUCCGAGCAUCCAAUGCAGGAAAUUAUAUAACAAAUACUUCAAAUACUUUAAGAGGAAGUAGAAGUGAUCUUUCCACGUAUAUAUCAUCAAACACCCACUACACAUGAACUCCUAUUAUGGUCAUCAACACAAUCGGUUGUAUUUUCAGAUUUUGAAGUAAUCACUGGAACCCCAUUUUAAUCAAUGCACACAUUGCGCAAGGUGCAUGUUCACGUUUAGUGUGAUUUGCGGGCCACAGGCUUUAGUACUAGUACAUCUAAGGCAGAUAAUAAUUUGAAUGGUGAUCUUAUUAAUGCUUCCAUGUACGCAGUGCUAUGUCAAACAUGCAGCUCUGAAUAUGAAGAGUUUGUUUCGUUCAAAUCGGCUAGUAAACCAGAAAUAGCCAAGGCAUUUACUUAUGUCGAAGGCUGUUAUGAUUUAUAUUACACCUUGCAGCCUGGAAAUCUUUGUUUGAGUGCAGAAUCUUUGAAGAAAAAAAACAGAAAGGGGCGCGCCUAACAAACAAAUCACCACAUAUGUAUGUAUAAGAGCAAGUACCAAAUUUCACACUGUUCUACUAAUUGCUGGGUUCCCACAAUCCCACUGGCGCUUCAGGUGUAAUAUAAGCUAUGGUUUUGAGCUUUGGCUUUGUAUGCUUGCAGUCAAAGUGGCCGUCAAUUUCCGGUAAAAUUAACCGAACCGCUGAUUGCCAUUUUAUAUAUUGGAGAAGAUAUAAAACACAUGGAAGAGCUUCACAAAGCUAUACACGUUAAAGCAGUGAUCGAAGCUCCUGCAAAUGAACAACAUCGAAUUGGGCUACAAAGGCUUGGACAUCAAUUAGGCAGUUUGCCUACACCUUUCUGCGUAUGUGUUUGUGCAAUAAUUGAGCCGUUCAGUGCACACAUCGAUUAACUCCACUUUUUGAAAAGUCUUAGUACAUAAUACUUAUAACAUUAUUUAUUUGAUUUUAUUAUAUGAAUGGAAUUUUAAGAAAUAAUGUACAUUAUUUGAUCGCACCUCCCAACUUUUUUUGGUGGAGUUUAUCAAUUUGUGCACUGAACGACUCAAUUAUAGAAUGUCAUGCGUUCCCAUGUAAAUUAAUUAUUAAGGAAUAUUGCGAACCAUUGCAAUAGUUGAGAUAUCGUUAUAAUAAACGAUUGUAGGAUAUACAUAUAUUUAUAUUUAAGUUUAUUUUUAGGUAAAAGUAUUUUAAUGUUUUAAUGUUAUUUUUUCAAAUAUUCUAGAUAAAAAUUUAAAAGUUCGAUAAUGUUUUAGUGCUAAUAAAUAUUUGACCAUAGCUGUAAUUUCGGCAACAAAAUUAAAAAUGUUUCUUUUUGUAAAGACCAUUUUCAUAUCUUUGUUAAAAAUUU
Molecule: long non-coding RNA, 1547 nt
Organism: Rhagoletis zephyria (snowberry fruit fly)
Lineage: Eukaryota; Metazoa; Arthropoda; Insecta; Diptera; Tephritidae
Source: RefSeq, a predicted model, not a curated record